This 497-nucleotide ribosomal RNA is filed under the name uncultured bacterium. RNAcentral describes it as "partial 16S ribosomal RNA". It matches the Rfam family "Bacterial small subunit ribosomal RNA", at positions 28 to 507 of the family's 1533-position model. The record is from RNAcentral.
GAUGAACGCUGGCGGCGUGCCUAAUACAUGCAAGUCGAGCGAACAGACGAGGAGCUUGCUCCUCUGACGUUAGCGGCGGACGGGCGAGUAACACGUGGAUAACCUACCUAUAAGACUGGGAUAACUUCGGGAAACCGGAGCUAAUACCGGAUAAUAUAUUGAACCGCAUGGUUCAAUAGUGAAAGACGGUUUUGCUGUCACUUAUAGAUGGAUCCGCGCCGCAUUAGCUAGUUGGUAAGGUAACGGCUUACCAAGGCAACGAUGCGUAGCCGACCUGAGAGGGUGAUCGGCCACACUGGAACUGAGACACGGUCCAGACUCCUACGGGAGGCAGCAGUAGGGAAUCUUCCGCAAUGGGCGAAAGCUUGACGGAGCAACGCCGCGUGAGUGAUGAAGGUCUUCGGAUCGUAAAACUCUGUUAUUAGGGAAGAACAAAUGUGUAAGUAACUAUGCACGUCUUGACGGUACCGAAUCAGAAAGCCACGGCUAACUACGUG